AGCAGCCGCCACGGUAAUACGUAGGGUGCAAGCGUUAAUCGGAAUUACUGGGCGUAAAGCGUGCGCAGGCGGUUAUAUAAGACAGAUGUGAAAUCCCCGGGUUCAACCUGGGAACUGCAUUUGUGACUGUAUAGCUAGAGUACGGCAGAGGGGGAUGGAAUUCCGCGUGUAGCAGUGAAAUGCGUAGAUAUGCGGAGGAACACCGAUGGCGAAGGCAAUCCCCUGGGCCUGUACUGACGCUCAUGCACGAAAGCGUGGGGAGCAAACAGGAUUAGAUACCCCGGUAGUCCCUGUCUCUUAUAC
This 303-nucleotide ribosomal RNA is filed under the name uncultured bacterium. Its description in RNAcentral is "partial 16S ribosomal RNA". It matches the Rfam family "Bacterial small subunit ribosomal RNA", at positions 507 to 807 of the family's 1533-position model. The record is from RNAcentral.